UACGAAUGGGGCAAGCGUUGUUCGGAAUCACUGGGCUUAAAGCGUGCUUAGGCGGAUAUGAAAGUCAGAAGUGAAAGCCUGGGGCUUAACCCUAGAACUGCUUUUGAAACUUCAUAUCUCGAAUCCGGUAGAGGUCAGGAGAAUUCCUAGUGUAGAGGUGAAAUUCACAGAUAUUAGGAGGAACACCAGUGGCGAAGGCGCCUGACGGGGCCGGCAUUGACGAUGAGGCACGAAAGCGUGGGGAGCAAACAGG
RNAcentral lists this ribosomal RNA (253 nucleotides) under uncultured bacterium. RNAcentral describes it as "partial 16S ribosomal RNA". It matches the Rfam family "Bacterial small subunit ribosomal RNA", at positions 524 to 776 of the family's 1533-position model. The record is from RNAcentral.